This 73-nucleotide transfer RNA is filed under the name Loxodonta africana (African savanna elephant). It matches the Rfam family "tRNA". Rfam says of the family: Transfer RNA (tRNA) molecules are approximately 80 nucleotides in length. Their secondary structure includes four short double-helical elements and three loops (D, anti-codon, and T loops). Further hydrogen bonds mediate the characteristic L-shaped molecular structure. tRNAs have two regions of fundamental functional importance: the anti-codon, which is responsible for specific mRNA codon recognition, and the 3' end, to which the tRNAs corresponding amino acid is attached (by aminoacyl-tRNA synthetases). tRNAs cope with the degeneracy of the genetic code in two manners: having more than one tRNA (with a specific anti-codon) for a particular amino acid; and 'wobble' base-pairing, i.e. permitting non-standard base-pairing at the 3rd anti-codon position. The record is from Rfam by way of RNAcentral. Lineage: Eukaryota; Metazoa; Chordata; Mammalia; Proboscidea; Elephantidae.
UGUUCCAUGAUGUAGUGGCUAGCACAUCUGCUUUACAUGGAGAAGAUCCUGGGUUUGAUCCCUAGUGGAGCCA